AUUGAACGCUGGCGGUAGGCCUAACACAUGCAAGUCGAACGGUAACAGGCCUUCGGGUGCUGACGAGUGGCGAACGGGUGAGUAAUGCAUCGGAACGUGCCCAAUCGUGGGGGAUAACGUAGCGAAAGUUACGCUAAUACCGCAUAAGCCCUGAGGGGGAAAGUGGGGGACCGCAAGGCCUCACGCGAAUGGAGCGGCCGAUGUCAGAUUAGCUAGUUGGUGGGGUAAAGGCCCACCAAGGCGACGAUCUGUAGCGGGUCUGAGAGGAUGAUCCGCCACACUGGGACUGAGACACGGCCCAGACUCCUACGGGAGGCAGCAGUGGGGAAUUUUGGACAAUGGGCGCAAGCCUGAUCCAGCCAUGCCGCGUGCGGGACGAA
Molecule: ribosomal RNA, 380 nt
Filed under: uncultured bacterium
Lineage: Bacteria
Description: bacterial SSU rRNA
Rfam family: Bacterial small subunit ribosomal RNA
Source: RNAcentral